Molecule: long non-coding RNA, 397 nt
Organism: Leguminivora glycinivorella
Lineage: Eukaryota; Metazoa; Arthropoda; Insecta; Lepidoptera; Tortricidae
Exons: 3
Source: RefSeq, a predicted model, not a curated record
UUGAUUUAGUCGUUCUUCUACAUGAUUUUAAAUAAUUAUAUUAAACACAAUACAAUGUUUAUCCCAGUUUAAAUAUGCUCGGUAUCGGUUCCAGAGGCUUAAAUUAUGUGUCUUUGCCCAACAGUUUGCUGCCUAAGUCAAUGCGUAUGCUGUUGUAUAGUCGUAAUAUGCGUGAUUCCCUUCAUGAUCGCGAUGUACUUCACUAUAUUGUGGAUGUACUACUUCGUGACAGCUGAAUGUUAACAUAUCGAAGGAUUUUUUAAGGCAGAAUGGACUAUUAUAACACAAAUGGUGCAAGAAUAUCCAGCAUUAUAAAGGCAAGACAAAUUUGGCUAACAGCUUUACAUCACAAAAUGUUUACAGACUUCAGGUCAGUGAACUUAGAACACUAUUAUAG